Molecule: unclassified non-coding RNA, 332 nt
Filed under: soil metagenome
Description: partial contains 5.8S ribosomal RNA, internal transcribed spacer 2, and large subunit ribosomal RNA
Rfam family: 5.8S ribosomal RNA (bases 1-120)
Source: RNAcentral
GAUGAAGAACGUAGCGAAAUGCGAUAAGUAAUGUGAAUUGCAGAAUUCAGUGAAUCAUCGAAUCUUUGAACGCACAUUGCGCCCCCUGGUAUUCCGGGGGGCAUGCCUGUUCGAGCGUCAUUACACCACUCAAGCCUCGCUUGGUAUUGGGCGCCGCGCCUCGGCGCGCGCCUCAAUGUAUCCGGCUGAGCCGACCGUCUCUAAGCGUUGUGGCACUUUAUGUUUCCGCUUCGGAGCUCGGGAGGUCUCGCGCCGUUAAACCCCCCAUCAAAGGUUGACCUCGGAUCAGGUAGGGAUACCCGCUGAACUUAAGCAUAUCAAUAAGCGGAGGA